Molecule: long non-coding RNA, 1542 nt
Organism: Anarrhichthys ocellatus (wolf-eel)
Lineage: Eukaryota; Metazoa; Chordata; Actinopteri; Perciformes; Anarhichadidae
Exons: 2
Source: RefSeq, a predicted model, not a curated record
UAAAUAUUAUUAUUAAUAACAACAACAACAACAACAACAACGUUACUAUUGAUAAUAAUCAAACCAUCACCAAUGUCAUUAUUAUUGUUAUUAUUAUUAUUAUUAUUUUUUACAUACAUACGUAUUAAAACGCUGACAUCUUCAAUAAAUAAUUAAAGUAUAAUUUAAGCAAAGUAAAAAAAUAAUAAAUAAAUAAUGGUAAACAAUACCACAUUUGGCUGGUCACAUUGUUUUAUUUGUAUGUUUUAAUGAUACCAAAGAAAUAACCAACACUAACUAAUUAACAGGUCCUUCAUUUUGUAGUCUGUAAACCGAUGUAACACAACUGUGUGUGCCUGUGUUUAAAAAUACAGCACACCGUUCUGUGUAUUAGUGCGCAACCUCUUUUAAAACACGUCUCACAAAGUCUUAUCUAUAAAAACAAAGAAAAAAAUCACAAACAAAAGCAAGAAAAACCCACUUGCUCUCCAGAAAAGAAAACCCUCAUCAUUCCUCAGUAUUCCUCUCUCUCCAGCAGGUGGCAGCCAGCGACCGUCUACCACCACGAAUCAGCUGUGGGAGCCUGUUUCACUGUGACACCAGCCCUGUUUCACUGUGACACCAGCCCUGUGUUACUGUGUUGUGUCUAUGGACAGAUUAACAGUGUAACCCUCGGGGCUGGAUCCAGUGACAGCGUCCUCGUCCUGCAGACAUUCAGUACCAGGUGCAGCUCCGGAACUCAGUAUGACACACUGACCCUUCAGCAGUUGAGCAACUGGUCUCAAGCCCAGCAGCCACAGAGAAACAGUGUCAGGCUGCAUCGUCUGAGCCUUGUGUUGAAUGCAUGUAUUUAUAAGUGGAUAAACAAUACGUGCAUGAAUGAAUGAAGGAUGAUACAGUUGUUCGUGUCAGGGCUGUGAGAAAAUGAGAAGGAAAACUAUAAUAAUUUGUUUGUUUGAACUGGGAUUUCUGUUUAUUUUAUGAUUAUUAAACAUCUAUUGUUAUUGUACAACAGAUGAAAUAUUAUUUGAAUCAAAUGAUUAGAAGAGUCUUAGACUGUAUCUAGAAAUUAAUGUUUUCUGCCCGUCACAUGAGGUUUGUAAUGCUUUUAUACUCCACACUUACACCACCUCAUGCUUUACAGAAUAUCUCAUAAUUCAUUAUUAAUUCAUCACAAGAAGUGGGAGCACUGUUGUGAUGGCAAAUAUAUCUUUAGCAACUAUUAUUUACUUGUCAUAUCGCCCUGAAAUUAACAAUCAAUAAUGCAGUUGCAAUUGUUUGUGUUUCUAUGAGUGAACCUCAUCUUGUAGCCUCAGUAUUCAGGGUUUAGACGGAGCCACAUGGAAGGAGCAGCUGCAAGCUUUCUGAUGAAUGACUCUGUGAAGACUGCUGGGAGGAUCCAUCACUGUGUGCCUCUUUUCAUGGAUUAUCAAAAGGCAUUCAAAUUCUUACCAGAAUAUCUAACUAAGCAAAUGAUUAUCUGUUGGUCAGGAUGAUUUUGCAUGGCCUUGAAGUACUGAGGUUAUAUUUGGUGUGCUAAUAAAUAAAACUAUUUAAUCUUAA